This 373-nucleotide ribosomal RNA is filed under the name uncultured bacterium. RNAcentral's name for it is "bacterial SSU rRNA". It matches the Rfam family "Bacterial small subunit ribosomal RNA", at positions 28 to 404 of the family's 1533-position model. The record is from RNAcentral.
GACGAACGCUGGCGGCGUGCUUAACACAUGCAAGUCGAGCGGUAAGGCCCUUCGGGGUACGACGAGCGGCGAACGGGUGAGUAACACGUGGGUGACCUGCCUCUAGCUCUGGGAUAAGCCUGGGAAACUGGGUCUAAUACCGGAUAUGACUCCACGGCGCAUGUUGUGGGGUGGAAAGCCUUGUGUGGCUAGAGAUGGGCCCGCGGCCUAUCAGCUUGUUGGUGGGGUGAUGGCCACCAAGGCGACGACGGGUAGCCGGCCUGAGAGGGCGACCGGCCACACUGGGACUGAGACACGGCCCAGACUCCUACGGGAGGCAGCAGUGGGGAAUCUUGCGCAAUGGGCGAAAGCCUGACGCAGCGACGCCGCGUGA